This 719-nucleotide ribosomal RNA is filed under the name uncultured bacterium. Its description in RNAcentral is "bacterial SSU rRNA". It matches the Rfam family "Bacterial small subunit ribosomal RNA", at positions 47 to 784 of the family's 1533-position model. The record is from RNAcentral.
CUUAAAAACGGGGCAAGUCGCACGAGAAAGUGGAGCGGACUGAGUAAAGUGGCGUACGGGUGAGUAACACGUGGAUUAUCUACCUCUUGGUGGGGAAUAACCCUGGGAAACCGGGGCUAACAGACGCAUAAGCUGCUCAAGGAAACAGGAGACAGGAAAGCAGUAAUGCGCCGAGAGGAGAGUCCGCGGCCGAUUAGCUAGUUGGCGGGGUAACGGCAAACAGGCGAAGAUCGGUAGCCGGCCUGAGGAGGCACACGGCCACACUGGCACUGAAACACGGGCCAGACUCCUACGGGGAGCAGCAGUGGGGAAUCUUGCACAAUGGGAGAAACUCUGAUGCAGCGACGCCGCGUGAGCGAUGAAGCCCUUCGGGGUGUAAAGCUCUUUAGACGGGAACUAGGAAUGACGGUACCCGAAGAAGAAGCUGCGGCUAACUACGUGCCAGCAGCCGCGGUAAUACGUAGGCAGCGAGCGUUGUUCGGAAUUACUGGGCGUAAAGAGUGUGUAGGCGGUGUUCUAAGUCUGUUGUGAAACCUCCCGGCUUAACUGGGGAGGUGCGGCGGAGACUGGAAUGCUAGAGUAUGGGAGGAGUAAGCGGAAUUCCUGGUGUAGCGGUGAAACGCGUAUAGGAUCAGGGAGAACACCUGUGGUGUAGACAGCUUACUGGACCAUGACUGACGCUGAGACACGAAAGCGUGGGUAGCAAACAGGAUUAUAGG